Molecule: ribosomal RNA, 446 nt
Filed under: uncultured bacterium
Lineage: Bacteria
Description: bacterial SSU rRNA
Rfam family: Bacterial small subunit ribosomal RNA
Source: RNAcentral
UGCCAGACUCCUACGGGAGGCAGCAGUGGGGAAUAUUGGACAAUGGGGGGAACCCUGAUCCAGCGACGCCGCGUGAGUGAAGAAGUAUCUCGGUAUGUAAAGCUCUAUCAGCAGGGAAGAAAAUGACGGUACCUGACUAAGAAGCCCCGGCUAACUACGUGCCAGCAGCCGCGGUAAUACGUAGGGGGCAAGCGUUAUCCGGAUUUACUGGGUGUAAAGGGAGCGUAGACGGCAGCGCAAGUCUGGAGUGAAAUGCGGGGGCUCAACCCCCGGACUGCUCUGGAAACUGUACGGCUGGAGUGCAGGAGAGGUAAGUGGAAUUCCUAGUGUAGCGGUGAAAUGCGUAGAUAUUAGGAGGAACACCAGUGGCGAAGGCGGCUUACUGGACUGUAACUGACGUUGAGGCUCGAAAGCGUGGGGAGCAAACAGGAUUAGAUACCCCAGUA